AACGAACGCUGGCGGCAUGCCUAACACAUGCAAGUCGAACGAGACCUUCGGGUCUAGUGGCGCACGGGUGCGUAACGCGUGGGAACCUGCCCUUAGGUUCGGAAUAACUCCCCGAAAGGGGUGCUAAUACCGGAUAAUGUCUUCGGACCAAAGAUUUAUCGCCUUUGGAUGGGCCCGCGUUGGAUUAGCUAGUUGGUAGGGUAAAAGCCUACCAAGGCGACGAUCCAUAGCUGGUCUGAGAGGAUGAUCAGCCACACUGGGACUGAGACACGGCCCAGACUCCUACGGGAGGCAGCAGUGGGGAAUAUUGGACAAUGGGCGAAAGACUGAUCCAGCAAUGCCGCGUGAGUGAUGAAGGCCUUAGGGUUGUAAAGCUCUUUUAACCGGGAUGAUAAUGACAGUACCGGGAGAAUAAGCGCCGGCUAACUCCGUG
Molecule: ribosomal RNA, 433 nt
Filed under: uncultured bacterium
Lineage: Bacteria
Description: partial 16S ribosomal RNA
Rfam family: Bacterial small subunit ribosomal RNA
Source: RNAcentral